UACAGAGGAGGCAAGCGUUGUUCGGAAUCACUGGGCUUAAAGCGCGUGUAGGCGGCCCGUCAAGUACCUUGUGAAAGCCCUCGGCUCAACCGAGGAAUUGCGCCCAAAACUGCCGCACUAGAGGAAGACAGAGGUACGCGGAACUUAGGGUGGAGCGGUGAAAUGCGCUGAUAUCCUAAGGAACACCGGAGGCGAAGGCGGCUCACUGGGGCUUAUCUGACGCUGAGGAACGAAAGCCAGGGGAGCGAACGGG
Molecule: ribosomal RNA, 253 nt
Filed under: uncultured bacterium
Lineage: Bacteria
Description: partial 16S ribosomal RNA
Rfam family: Bacterial small subunit ribosomal RNA
Source: RNAcentral